RNAcentral lists this transfer RNA (85 nucleotides) under Felis catus (domestic cat). It matches the Rfam family "tRNA". From Rfam's summary of the family: Transfer RNA (tRNA) molecules are approximately 80 nucleotides in length. Their secondary structure includes four short double-helical elements and three loops (D, anti-codon, and T loops). The record is from Rfam by way of RNAcentral. Lineage: Eukaryota; Metazoa; Chordata; Mammalia; Carnivora; Felidae.
GCCUGGGUAGCUCAGUUGGUUAAGUAUCUGACUUCAGCUCAGGUCAUGAUCUCACAGUUGGUGAGUUUAAGCCUCACGUCAGGCU